Molecule: ribosomal RNA, 635 nt
Filed under: uncultured bacterium
Lineage: Bacteria
Description: bacterial SSU rRNA
Rfam family: Bacterial small subunit ribosomal RNA
Source: RNAcentral
AGAGUUUGAUCCUGGCUCAGAACGAACGCUGGCGGCAGGCCUAACACAUGCAAGUCGAGCGCCCGCAAGGGAGCGGCAGACGGGCGAGUAACGCGUGGGAACGUGCCCUUUGGUUCGGAAUAUUCCCGGGAAACUGGGAGCAAAACCGGAUAAGCCCUUCGGGGGAAAGUUUACGCCAAAGGAUCGGCCCGCGUUAGAUUAGGUAGUUGGUGGGGUAACGGCCUACCAAGCCUACGAUCUAUAGCUGAUCUGAGAGGAUGAUCAGCCACACUGGGACUGAGACACGGCCCAGACUCCUACGGGAGGCAGCAGUGGGGAAUCUUGGACAAUGGGCGCAAGCCUGAUCCAGCCAUGCCGCGUGGAUGACUGAAGGCCCUAGGGUUGUAAAGUCCUUUCGACGGGGACGAUAAUGACGGUACCCGUAGAAGAAGCCCCGGCUAACUUCGUGCCAGCAGCCGCGGUAAUACGAAGGGGGCUAGCGUUGUUCGGAUUUACUGGGCGUAAAGGGCGCGUAGGCGGAUUUUUAAGUCGGGGGUGAAAUCCCGGAGCUCAACUCCGGAACUGCCUUCGAUACUGGAAGUCUGGAGCACGGUAGAGGUGAGUGGAAUUCCGAGUGUAGCGGUGAAAUGCGUAGA